RNAcentral lists this unclassified non-coding RNA (231 nucleotides) under soil metagenome. RNAcentral's name for it is "partial internal transcribed spacer 1". The record is from RNAcentral.
UUGAAUUUUAAUGAAGAGUUUGGUUGUAGCUGGCCCAUUCAUUUGGGCAUGUGCACACCUUCCUCUUUCAUCCCACACACACCUGUGAACCUGUGAGACAGAGAUGGGGAAUUUACUUGCUGCUUUUUGGAAUACAAAGGCAAUAGGUUAUUGGACCCCCCCUCUGUCUACUCAAUUAAUAUAAACUCAAUUUAUUUUAAAACGAAUGUAUGGAUGUAACACAUCUCAUAC